RNAcentral lists this ribosomal RNA (433 nucleotides) under uncultured bacterium. RNAcentral's name for it is "partial 16S ribosomal RNA". It matches the Rfam family "Bacterial small subunit ribosomal RNA", at positions 29 to 507 of the family's 1533-position model. The record is from RNAcentral.
AACGAACGCUGGCGGCAUGCCUAACACAUGCAAGUCGAACGAGACCUUCUGGUCUAGUGGCGCACGGGUUCGUGACGCGUGGGAACCUGCCCUUGGUUUGUAACUAAUGCCCCGAAUGGGUUCUACAUGCGGAUAAAGGUCUGCGAUCCAAACUUUUAUCGCCUUUGGAUGGGCCCGCGUUGGAUUAGCUGGUUGGUAGGGUAAAAGCCUACCAAGGCGACGAUCCAUAGCUGGUCUGAGAGGAUGAGCAGCCACACUGGGACUGAGACACGGCCCAGACUCCUACGGGAGGCAGCAGUGGGGAAUAUUGGACAAUGGGCGAAAGCCUGAUCCAGCAAUGCCGCGUGAAUGAUGAAGGCCUUAGGGUUGUAAAGCUCUUUUACCCGGGAUGAUAAUGACAGUACCGGGCGAAUAAGCUCCGGCUAACUCCGUG